AUGGACUGGACCUGGAGAAUUCUCUUCCUGGUGGCAGUGGCUGCAGGUGUGAACUCCCAAGUGCAGUUGGUGCAGUCGGGGGCUGAGGUUGGAAAACCUGGGACAUCAGUGAAGAUCUCCUGCAAGGCGUCCGGAUACACCUUCACUGACUACUGGAUGCACUGGUUGCGGCAGACCCCAGGACAAGGGCUUGAGUGGAUGGGAAACAUAUAUCCUGGUAAUGGUAAUACAAACUACGCACAAAAGUUCCAGGGCAGACUCACACUCACUGCAGACAAGUCCAAGGACACAGCCUACAUGGAACUGAGCAGGCUGAGCACCGAGGACACAGCCGUGUAUUACUGUGCAAGAAACACAGUGUGA
This is a non-coding RNA of Sorex fumeus (smoky shrew), 363 nucleotides long. NCBI's taxonomy places the organism in Eukaryota, Metazoa, Chordata, Mammalia, Eulipotyphla, Soricidae. The record is from the annotation of a RefSeq genome assembly.